Long non-coding RNA from Lemur catta (Ring-tailed lemur), 443 nucleotides. RefSeq lists it as uncharacterized. Lineage: Eukaryota; Metazoa; Chordata; Mammalia; Primates; Lemuridae. The transcript has 3 exons. The record is from RefSeq and is a predicted model, not a curated record.
GCCCAGCUCCACCUGCAAACACCUCAGGUUGGGGCAGGCUCUGAGCCCCGCAAAGCUGCUCAAGGUAACUCUACUAUCACUUCCUGCCCGGGCCACCCAGCCUCCUCUCACUCUGGGACUCACUUCCUGUUGACUGCCAGCCAGCUCCAUGGCAUAGAGACGCAGGACUGCCAGCUGUGAGACCAGCAAGCCCCAGGGGCCAGACAACCCAGUCACUCACGCGCAUGGAUGGCCUGGAAAGGAGACACACAGUGCCCCCCCCCAAAGAUACUCAUUUUGCCUAUUACCUGGGCAGCAUCUGGUGGCAUCUUAGAGGGUACCAACAGCGGCUGCAGCUGCAGGUGACAGUUUCAGAGUGGGAAUUGCUGCAGUGAACACUCUCACUUCUCCUCCCUCGGUGGGGGCUGGCGGGGGGGCUGGGGAGGCAGCUGUGGUCGUGAAGC